GACAGAGGUGCCAAGCGUUAGGCGGAAUCACUGGGCGUAAAGCGCACGUAGGCGGACUCUUAAGUCGGUGGUGAAAUCCUGGAGCUCAACUCCAGAACUGCCUUCGAUACUGGGAGUCUCGAGUUCGGGAGAGGUGAGUGGAACUGCGAGUGUAGAGGUGAAAUUCGUAGAUAUUCGCAAGAACACCAGUGGCGAAGGCGGCUCACUGGCCCGAUACUGACGCUGAGGUGCGAAAGCGUGGGGAGCAAACAGG
RNAcentral lists this ribosomal RNA (253 nucleotides) under uncultured bacterium. RNAcentral describes it as "partial 16S ribosomal RNA". It matches the Rfam family "Bacterial small subunit ribosomal RNA", at positions 524 to 776 of the family's 1533-position model. The record is from RNAcentral.